UACGUAUGGAGCGAGCGUUGUCCGGAAUUAUUGGGCGUAAAGGGUGCGCAGGCGGCUUUACAGGUUGGAUGUGAAAUAUUGUGGCUCAACCACAAACGUGCAUCCAAAACUGCAAAGCUUGAGUUAAGGAGAGGUAAGUGGAAUUCCUGGUGUAGCGGUGGAAUGCGUAGAUAUCAGGAGGAAUACCGGUGGCGAAGGCGACUUACUGGACUUAAACUGACGCUCAGGCACGAAAGCGUGGGGAGCAAACAGGAUUAGAUACCCUGGUAGUC
Molecule: ribosomal RNA, 272 nt
Filed under: uncultured Clostridiaceae bacterium
Lineage: Bacteria; Bacillati; Bacillota; Clostridia; Eubacteriales; Clostridiaceae
Description: partial 16S ribosomal RNA
Rfam family: Bacterial small subunit ribosomal RNA
Source: RNAcentral